RNAcentral lists this ribosomal RNA (201 nucleotides) under Klebsiella pneumoniae. Its description in RNAcentral is "partial 16S ribosomal RNA". It matches the Rfam family "Bacterial small subunit ribosomal RNA", at positions 1 to 211 of the family's 1533-position model. The record is from RNAcentral. Lineage: Bacteria; Pseudomonadati; Pseudomonadota; Gammaproteobacteria; Enterobacterales; Enterobacteriaceae.
AAAUUGAAGAGUUUGAUCAUGGCUCAGAUUGAACGCUGGCGGCAGGCCUAACACAUGCAAGUCGAGCGGUAACACAGAGAGCUUGCUCUCGGGUGACGAGCGGCGGACGGGUGAGUAAUGUCUGGGAAACUGCCUGAUGGAGGGGGAUAACUACUGGAAACGGUAGCUAAUACCGCAUAACGUCGCAAGACCAAAGUGGGG